GAUGAACGCUGGCGGCGUGCCUAAUACAUGCAAGUCGAGCGAACAGACGAGGAGCUUGCUCCUCUGACGUUAGCGGCGGACGGGUGAGUAACACGUGGAUAACCUACCUAUAAGACUGGGAUAACUUCGGGAAACCGGAGCUAAUACCGGAUAAUAUAUUGAACCGCAUGGUUCAAUAGUGAAGGACGGUUUUGCUGUCACUUAUAGAUGGAUCCGCGCCGCAUUAGCUAGUUGGUAAGGUAACGGCUUACCAAGGCAACGAUGCGUAGCCGACCUGAGAGGGUGAUCGGCCACACUGGAACUGAGACACGGUCCAGACUCCUACGGGAGGCAGCAGUAGGGAAUCUUCGGCAAUGGGCGAAAGCCUGACGGAGCAACGCCGCGUGAGUGAUGAAGGUCUUCGGAUCGUAAAACUCUGUUAUUAGGGAAGAACAAAUGUGUAAGUAACUAUGCACGUCUUGACGGUACCUAAUCAGAAAGCCACGGCUAACUACGUG
Molecule: ribosomal RNA, 497 nt
Filed under: uncultured bacterium
Lineage: Bacteria
Description: partial 16S ribosomal RNA
Rfam family: Bacterial small subunit ribosomal RNA
Source: RNAcentral